UGUGCUAGUCGGGGAGGUAGCGGUGCCCUGUAGUCUGCAAUCCGCUUUAGCAGAGAUUAUGUUCAGUCUGAGGCUUUAGUUUGUGAAGUCAGCCUGUCAAUUUCUGAUGUUGACGAUUGAGUCUUGCACAAUGGGAACCUGUGAACCGUGUCAGAUCCGGAAGGAAGCAGCACUAAGCGGUACUUCUCAUGUGUUGUGAGGUUGCUUGAUUUGAGUCAGAGUUGUCAGUA
This 230-nucleotide signal recognition particle RNA is filed under the name human gut metagenome. RNAcentral's name for it is "Bacterial large signal recognition particle RNA". It matches the Rfam family "Bacterial large signal recognition particle RNA", at positions 3 to 226 of the family's 256-position model. Rfam says of the family: The signal recognition particle (SRP) is a universally conserved ribonucleoprotein involved in the co-translational targeting of proteins to membranes. Archaeal SRP consists of a 7S RNA and homologues of the eukaryotic SRP19 and SRP54 proteins. The record is from RNAcentral.